GACGAACGCUGGCGGCGUGCCUAAUACAUGCAAGUAGAACGCUGAAGGAGGAGCUUGCUUCUCUGGAUGAGUUGCGAACGGGUGAGUAACGCGUAGGUAACCUGCCUGGUAGCGGGGGGUAACUAUUGGAAACGAUAGCUAAUACCGCAUAAUAGCAGUUGUUGCAUGACAACUGUUUGAAAGGUGCAAUUGCACCACUACCAGAUGGACCUGCGUUGUAUUAGCUAGUUGGUGGGGUAACGGCUCACCAAGGCGACGAUACAUAGCCGACCUGAGAGGGUGAUCGGCCACACUGGGACUGAGACACGGCCCAGACUCCUACGGGAGGCAGCAGUAGGGAAUCUUCGGCAAUGGACGGAAGUCUGGCCGAGCAACGCCGCGUGAGUGAAGAAGGUUUUCGGAUCGUAAAGCUCUGUUGUAAGAGAAGAACGAGUGUGAGAGUGGAAAGUUCACACUGUGACGGUAUCUUACCAGAAAGGGACGGCUAACUACGUG
Molecule: ribosomal RNA, 495 nt
Filed under: uncultured bacterium
Lineage: Bacteria
Description: partial 16S ribosomal RNA
Rfam family: Bacterial small subunit ribosomal RNA
Source: RNAcentral